This is a small nuclear RNA of Monodelphis domestica (gray short-tailed opossum), 104 nucleotides long. The record is from Ensembl. NCBI's taxonomy places the organism in Eukaryota, Metazoa, Chordata, Mammalia, Didelphimorphia, Didelphidae.
GGGAUCACUUCAGCAGCACAUACACUAAAACUGGAAUGAUACAGAGAAAAUGAGCAUGACCCCUGCACAAAAACACACAAAUUUGUGAAGCAUUCCACAUUUUU